CCUACGGGAGGCAGCAGUGAGGAAUAUUGGUCAAUGGGCGCGAGCCUGAACCAGCCAAGUAGCGUGAAGGAUGACUGCCCUACGGGUUGUAAACUUCUUUUAUAAAGGAAUAAAGUGAGGCACGUGUGCCUUUUUGUAUGUACUUUAUGAAUAAGGAUCGGCUAACUCCGUGCCAGCAGCCGCGGUAAUACGGAGGAUCCGAGCGUUCUCCGGAUUUAUUGGGUUUAAAGGGAGCGUAGAUGGGUUGUUAAGUCAGUUGUGAAAGUUUGCGGCUCAACCGUAAAAUUGCAAUUGAUACUGGCAGCCUUGAGUACAGUUGAGGUAGGCGGCCUUCGUGGUGUAGCGGUGACAUGCUUCGCUCUCAC
This 365-nucleotide ribosomal RNA is filed under the name uncultured bacterium. RNAcentral describes it as "partial 16S ribosomal RNA". It matches the Rfam family "Bacterial small subunit ribosomal RNA", at positions 338 to 700 of the family's 1533-position model. The record is from RNAcentral.